This 466-nucleotide ribosomal RNA is filed under the name uncultured bacterium. Its description in RNAcentral is "partial 16S ribosomal RNA". It matches the Rfam family "Bacterial small subunit ribosomal RNA", at positions 28 to 507 of the family's 1533-position model. The record is from RNAcentral.
GACGAACGCUGGCGGCGUGCUUAACACAUGCAAGUCGAACGGAAAGGCCCUGCUUGCAGGGUACUCGAGUGGCGAACGGGUGAGUAACACGUGGGUGAUCUGCCCUGCACUUCGGGAUAAGCCUGGGAAACUGGGUCUAAUACCGGAUAGGAGCCAUUUUUAGUGUGAUGGUUGGAAAGUUUUUUUCGGUGUAGGGUGAGCUCGCGGCCUAUCAGCUUGUUGGUGGGGUAAUGGCCUACCAAGGCGGCGACGGGUAGCCGGCCUGAGAGGGUGGACGGCCACAUUGGGACUGAGAUACGGCCCAGACUCCUACGGGAGGCAGCAGUGGGGAAUAUUGCACAAUGGGCGCAAGCCUGAUGCAGCGACGCCGCGUGGGGGAUGACGGCCUUCGGGUUGUAAACUCCUUUCGCUAGGGACGAAGCUUUUUGUGACGGUACCUAGAUAAGAAGCACCGGCUAACUACGUG